This 331-nucleotide ribosomal RNA is filed under the name uncultured eukaryote. RNAcentral describes it as "partial 18S ribosomal RNA". It matches the Rfam family "Eukaryotic small subunit ribosomal RNA", at positions 1470 to 1796 of the family's 1831-position model. The record is from RNAcentral.
CCCUUAGAUGUUCUGGGCCGCACGCGCGCUACACUGACGAAGUCAGCGAGCAUGUCCUACGCCGACAGGUGCGGGGAAUCUUGUCAAACUUUGUCGUGAUGGGGAUUGAUUUUUGAAAUUCUUGAUCAUAAACGAGGAAUUCCUAGUAAGCGCAAGUCAGCAGCUUGCGUUGAUUACGUCCCUGCCCUUUGUACACACCGCCCGUCGCUACUACCGAUUGAAUGGUUUAGUGAGAUCUUCGGAUUGGCGCCACUGCAGCUCAGCAAUGGGCUUGGUGGAUGCCGAAAAGUUGAUCAAACUUGAUCAUUUAGAGGAAGUAAAAGUCGUAACA